GCAUAAGGACCUAUUAGUGCAUGAAAUAAAAAGGGGGGACUUGCAUGUCAAAUUCCCCCCUAAUUAGUAGUGGCCGGCCAGGACAAGCAUGGUAGACCAAGUGUGAUGGGCAAGACAUGUCAUAGACAUGUUGUGUUGGUGCAUCAUGGGUGGAAAAAAAUAAAAUAAGGAGCAUGGGCAUAAAAUAAUGAAAGGGAAUAUGAUGAAAACAAAACAAAAAAAAAGUGUGUGGUUG
This 235-nucleotide long non-coding RNA is filed under the name Gossypium barbadense (sea-island cotton). Its description in RNAcentral is "long non-coding RNA (GBAR_LNC001579)". Lineage: Eukaryota; Viridiplantae; Streptophyta; Magnoliopsida; Malvales; Malvaceae. The record is from RNAcentral.